Long non-coding RNA from Vollenhovia emeryi, 876 nucleotides. RefSeq lists it as uncharacterized. Lineage: Eukaryota; Metazoa; Arthropoda; Insecta; Hymenoptera; Formicidae. The record is from RefSeq and is a predicted model, not a curated record. The transcript has 2 exons.
UUAGUCUCAUUUCCCUCAGAUUUGCAGAAGUCCGCUUUCGCAAAUUCAGAGGCUCGUCAAUGUGAUAAAUUCUGACAACUGUAUUGCAAGUUUCACGAAGAAUUGAACGUAGAAUUUUGCAAAUUCUAGCUGUCACAAUCUCGUGACGCGGAUCCUUGAUUCUGCCGUAUGAUACAGAUCUAUUGAGGCAUUUCUAAUUUUUCACGAAGGCUACGUUUCGUCCUUAAUUAACUAGGGUGUUGCCCGAACCGCAUUAAUAUCGCAAAUUAGACAAAUUUCUGGGCGGAUAAGGCCGGCGAGCCAAUCGCGUGAGCGGCAGCCCUUCCGUUCAUUCGCAUUUCGGGGAUGUGACGCGCGUCACGUGGCAGCCGAUUGUUAUGUACGUAACACGACAAUCGGGCUGCACGCAGUGACACAUAACAUGAGUGGGAGUGACGACAAUCGAUUGUGCGACUGACGCUACAUCGCCAUGGUGACACGCGAAAACAAAUACGCGCGAUCGCAUAGACACGCUGACCCACAGUAGGCCGCCACGAGUUCAGUGUGUCACGUGUACGACAGAAAAGGAGCGAGAGCUCCAGCCCUCGACCUGAACGAGGAAAGUGGCGAAGGCGCUCGCUAACGACGAAUUCGCAGGGACAAUGUAGUUGCAACCGUAUGGAGAGGUAGAACAACAUACGGAGCUCGCCAUUCAACGAGAUAAAAUAGGAAUUAUAUAAGACACAUUAUUAUUUAUCAACAAGUACGUUACACAUCAUAUUAUGAUCACGUAAUUAUGACAAAUUUAUUGAUCCACUCUAUAAUCAAAUCUGGCUGUAUAUAUGCUUAUUACGCUGUAAAUUCAUCACCGGAUUAAUAAAUAUUGAUUAUUAUUGC